UACGGAGGAUGCGAGCCUUAUCCGGAUUUAUUGGGUUUAAAGGGUGCGUAGGCUGUGUAGCAAGUCGGAGGUGAAAUAUCCGGGCUCAACCGGGAGGGUGCCUACGAUACUGCAGUGCUGGAAUACUGUUGCCGCGGGAGGAAUGAGUAGUGUAGCGGUGAAAUGCAUAGAUAUUACUCAGGACACCGAUUGCGAAGGCAUCUCGCGAAGCAGUUAUUGACGCUGAGGCACGAAAGCGUGGGGAUCAAAC
This 250-nucleotide ribosomal RNA is filed under the name uncultured prokaryote. Its description in RNAcentral is "partial 16S ribosomal RNA". It matches the Rfam family "Bacterial small subunit ribosomal RNA", at positions 524 to 773 of the family's 1533-position model. The record is from RNAcentral.